UACGUAGGGUGCAAGCGUUAAUCGGAAUUACUGGGCGUAAAGCGUGCGCAGGCGGUUAUGUAAGACAGGUGUGAAAUCCCCGGGCUUAACCUGGGAACUGCAUUUGUGACUGCAUCGCUGGAUGCGGCAGAGGGGGGAUGGAAUUCCGCGUGUAGCAGUGAAAUGCGUAGAUAUGCGGAGGAACACCGAUGGCGAAGGCAAUCCCCCUGGGCCUGC
RNAcentral lists this ribosomal RNA (216 nucleotides) under uncultured bacterium. RNAcentral describes it as "partial 16S ribosomal RNA". It matches the Rfam family "Bacterial small subunit ribosomal RNA", at positions 524 to 739 of the family's 1533-position model. The record is from RNAcentral.